UGGGGGAUAUUAGGCAAUGGGGGAAACCCUGACCUAGCAACGCCGCGUGAAGGAAGAAGGCUUUCGGGUUGUAAACUUCUUUGACCGGGGACGAUAAUGACGGUACCCGGAAAACAAGCCACGGCUAACUACGUGCCAGCAGCCGCGGUAAUACGUAGGUGGCGAGCGUUGUCCGGAAUUACUGGGUGUAAAGGGCGUGUAGGCGGGUAUGCAAGUCAGGUGUGAAAUGCCGCAGCUUAACUGCGGAGCUGCAUUUGAAACUGCGUAUCUUGAGUGAUGGAGAGGUAAUUGGAAUUCCCAGUGUAGCGGUGAAAUGCGUAGAUAUUGGGAGGAACACCAGUGGCGAAGGCGGAUUACUGGACAUUAACUGACGCUGAGGCGCGAAAGCGUGGGGAGCAAACA
Molecule: ribosomal RNA, 402 nt
Rfam family: Bacterial small subunit ribosomal RNA